This is a long non-coding RNA of Numida meleagris (helmeted guineafowl), 3787 nucleotides long. The record is from Ensembl. NCBI's taxonomy places the organism in Eukaryota, Metazoa, Chordata, Aves, Galliformes, Numididae.
AUGGCGGGGAGCAAACCCGGGGCCGGCGGAUGCACGGAGCCGGGAGGCGGGUGCCCUGGCAACGGCGCCAUGGCAACAGCGCCAUGGCAACAGCGCCAUGGCAACGCGGCGAGCCGGCACCCGGCCGGGGGAUGCGCGAUGCGAUGCGCUGCGCUCCGGCCGCCAGCAGCGCGGGCCGGGGCCGGGCCGGGACUCAGCAGCUGCCAGGCUCCAGGGAGGCCCCAGCCACGCCGGAGUGAGCUCCGCGUUACGCCGGGAUACAGGUUCAUGCUGUUCCGCCCGGUGCUUGCGCGUCCCGGCUCCGCCGAUCCCGGGGCAGCUCCUCGGUGCUCUGCGUCGUGCGGCCGUGGCACGAAGGAUGAGGCCGAUGGGAGCGGGGAUGCAGGUGGCACUGGGGGACCGUGCCCCCAGGAACUCCCACCUGCUGCAGCAGCAGUCCUCGGAUGGAGCUGCACACCCACGUGUGGGCACGCACCCCGAGCACGCCCCGCGCUCCCUGCCUGGGCUCUCCAGCUCUUUCCAGCCCUGCUGAUGCCGCUGUUUCCUACCAUCACAAGCUCAUCCAAAUGUGUGAAGAGCCGUUUCAAGCUGCUCCUCCGCCCCCACCCCCCACCCCCGACCUCUGUUCCAUUGCCCUCAGCUAAGCUCAGCUCUGAGAUAGAAGAGAAGGAAGGGAGAGGGCUCAUCCCAAGCCAAACUCCAUCCUGCAGCCCUGGGAGAAUGAGCCAUGGUACAGCUGGUGGCAGCACAGGUGGCAAUAGAGGGAGCAGCACUGAUCCACACCAUUGUUCCUGUGCCAAGAACCAGACCCCCAGGGAAAUUGGGUCCAGAGUGCUACUGCUGCGGGGAAACUACAAUCCCUGCCCCAACGUGCUGCUGCUCACAGCGGGGUGCAGAGAGGAGGGACAGCACACAUCCAGCAGCCAACGACAGCAAAGGCAAAUCCCUCCCAGCAGUCUUGGUGGGGAAUGGACAAAGCUCUGCUUGGGAGCAAGCAGCAGAGAGGGGAUGUCAGGUCCCCUCUGCAGCCAGCUGCUUGCUUGCCAGCCCCACUGCCUGUGCAGCCCCAUCCCGAGUGGCUGCCUUGGGAAGAGAUGAGGUGGGAGGAGGAGAUGGCAGCCCCAGGCUCCCGAAAAGGCAGGAUGCAUUAGAACAAGCAGAGCUGCCUGAUUGAUUCUUCAGGCUGAGACGUGGGCUGGAAGUGCCAGGAGAAAAUGGAUCCUCUGAAUAUUUGAUGAACAGAGGCUCAAGGAGGGAGUUUGAUUGGAAAAUUACAGAUCUUUCAAACAAUGGUUCGAGUGCCCUCCAAACACUUGGGUUUCCAGCUCCCUUCCAGUUAGAGGAGCAAGGCUCCACUAGGAAACACCCACACGAUUUAUGAAUGAAGCAGAGCUCCCCACACCUGGCAGCACUCAACCCGCUGGGGCCAGCAGCCCAGCAGCUCCAGCACCGACCUGGGGACACGGAGCUCAGGUUCUGCCAUCACUGGGGUCACUACGGCUGCAUCACGUUGCUCCCCAGUCCUACGAGGCAUCCACAAUGCCAUGAACACCAGGGCACACGAGGCUUUAUGGAGUAUGUGGGGAUGUUGUUCACGUGCAGAAUCCUGCCCGGGCAUCCAGCCCAGAGCUCUGCUCUCUGUCCCCAGCCUCCAUCCAGCUCCUCUGCACCAGGAAGCACCUGACUAGAGCACAGCCAGUGCUGCUCCCCACCCAGACAGCAGCUCCAGGGCUGCUGAGGACUCAUCCUCAUCCCGAGACCGACUUCUGUCUGGGGCCCGAGGGGCUUGCUGCCUCACAGACGGGUGCAAGCAGUAAGUACAGACUCAGCUCAGGCUUCCUGAAUCCACCCCUGCCUGCAGCCCCGAGCUUUCCGCCCUCCAUCAGACCCCAUCCCUUGUGCACGUCCUUUCCCUUUCCCUUGCACAGGGGUAAGUGGCUAUUUCUGGCCGGGAAUGAGGAAUGCCAGCAGCAGUUUCCCAAGGAAACCCACUCUUGCUCCAGUUCCUCCCCUGCCUCGUGCACUUCUGGGCUGAACCCUGAGCCCCUGCUCCCCGGGUGCCACUGUGUGGCUGUCUGCAGUCAGGCGUUAUGGCUGCCUCCAUUGGGACCAGCGCUUCACUGGGUUUUGCAUCUCAACGAAGGCGCGUGGAGGGGAGAGCAGGACCCCAAAGGGAGUGCUCCAGGUGACCCCAAGGGCAGAAAUGUCCCUCCUCCCCCUCUAUGAGGCUCCUGUUCAGAGCUGGAGCAAUGGGGAGGGCAGGACCGGGAGAGCAGCUGGCUCCCAAGGAGAGCAGAAACAGCAAGGUGCAAAGAUAUCGGAGGGAGCUAUCAGCAGCCAGAACUGGAGAUGCUAAACCUGCAGCUGCACAACAGGACCACUAGCAGAAUGAGCAGAGGAGAUAAGAGCAGGCCUGAUGGGACCAGCAGAGCCUUUUAUAAGAGCACGAAGCUUUUAGCCAAACCUCCUUUGGCACCAGCAGCUCGUGGUGUCCAGCACCCUCCUGCUGCCAAAGCCGAGGGAAAGCAACAGCCAACCCCAGGAGCACGCUUCCCAGCACACAUCAGCAACCGCAGAGCCAGGCCUAUGUCUGGGGAGCAUUUUCCCAUGGGCCCUCACUGAUCCCAGGACUUUCCUAAGCCCCCAUCCCGAUGACAAGGGUCUGAAUUUUGCAGAGCGCACCUGACCCUUGGUGGAACCCUGUGCAGGAGCACUGGGGCUGCAGGUCUGUCCGUACACACAGGGAAAACAUGCUGGCAUUUCAACCACCACCAACUUUUGCACACGUAUUCCAGCCCAAAAUCUCAAGAUUUAUCUCCAUAAGAGCCAAAACCUGAGCGACCAGAAGGGGCUGCACCAAAACUGCCCAAACAGAAACAGUGCAUGCUCUGGUUCUGCUUUGCUGCUCAGCCCCACACUCGCCUCUCACCUCCAGGGCACAUUUCCCUGGUAGGGUUUGCAGUCACGAGAAGGAACGAUCUGGUAUUUCCAGCACACAAACAAAAGCCCCAACACAGCCCUGAAGGACUCCUUGUCCUGACAGCCAGCCAGUAAGGUCCAUCCCACAGCUCCCAGUGUGAGAGGGGCUCAGCAGGGAGGAGCAGUGCUGUCACAUUUGCUGUCACAAGGCCGGGAGCUGACCCCCUCCCCAUUUCCACCCCAGGCACUGAGCUCAGCUCUGCCAUCCCACCCAGGUCCCCAUUGGUGCCACUCAGCACAGGGAACCAGAGCCCAGCCCUGACAGGAGGAAACAAGCACCCCAAGCCCUCCAGCACCCCUGUGGGGCUCCCCCAAACUGGGAGCAAAUGGCAGAUGGCCAGGGCCUGUAGACUAUCCAGUGCUUCGUUAGCAGGCAGCUGGUUAAUCAGCACAGGGUGAGGUGCCCACAAGGAGCGGACGGUCGCUGGCCCCUGGGUUGGGCUGGAUGGGAGCCCCUGGAAAGACCUCAGUGCCAAAGCCAGGGGAUGCUGGAGGGAAGCAAAGGGAAGGGAACGAUGGGGCCACAGGGCCCCCGUCCUCAGCUCCGAUCCUGCCUGCACGUUCCAGCCGACCGGGGCAGGGCCCCACCGCAGCACACAAAGAAGGUCAGGGCGCCGGAGCAUUCCUCGGCUCCCGAGGGGCUGUCCCCGGCAGGACGGGAGGAGAAGCCCCCGCUCCCAGCCGGGCCCUUUGGCACCGCGUGUGCAGAGGGAGGGGUCCGCGGGCUCCCAGCCACCCACUCGCCCCCAGCUACGCGCAGCAGCAACAACAGGUUCAAAACAGAAAAAUAAACGCCCUUCCCACCCCA